CCUACGGGGGGCAGCAGUGAGGAAUAUUGGUCAAUGGACGAAAGUCUGAACCAGCCAAGUCGCGUGAAGGAUGACUGCCCUAUGGGUUGUAAACUUCUUUUAUAUGGGAAUAAAAUGUUCCACGUGUGGGAUUUUGUAUGUACCAUAUGAAUAAGGAUCGGCUAACUCCGUGCCAGCAGCCGCGGUAAUACGGAGGAUCCGAGCGUUAUCCGGAUUUAUUGGGUUUAAAGGGAGCGUAGGUGGAUUGUUAAGUCAGUUGUGAAAGUUUGCGGCUCAACCGUAAAAUUGCAGUUGAUACUGGCAGUCUUGAGUACAGUAGAGGUGGGCGGAAUUCGUGGUGUAGCGGUGAAAUGCUUAGAUAUCACGAAGAACUCCGAUUGCGAAGGCAGCUCACUGGACUGCAACUGACACUGAGGCUCGAAAGUGUGGGGAGCAAACAGGAUUAGAUACCCCAGUAGUC
RNAcentral lists this ribosomal RNA (460 nucleotides) under uncultured bacterium. RNAcentral's name for it is "partial 16S ribosomal RNA". It matches the Rfam family "Bacterial small subunit ribosomal RNA", at positions 338 to 795 of the family's 1533-position model. The record is from RNAcentral.